This is a long non-coding RNA of Carcharodon carcharias (great white shark), 1927 nucleotides long. RefSeq lists it as uncharacterized. The transcript is spliced from 3 exons. The record is from RefSeq and is a predicted model, not a curated record. NCBI's taxonomy places the organism in Eukaryota, Metazoa, Chordata, Chondrichthyes, Lamniformes, Lamnidae.
GAGGCACGGAAUCCAAACUGGCAACAACAUAUUUAUACUGCCUGGCUGCUACUGGAAUUUGGCCCAUUAGAGAACACUGUGCAUGCUUUCUUACAGACACGGGAUCUCGACAUGACUGGCAACAUGAGCAUUCAUUACCCAUCACUAUAUAACCUGGUGCCUUGCUAGGUAAUUUCAGGAGCAGUUAAGAAUCAUUAGCUGUGGGGUCACGACACAUAGGUCUGACUGGGUAAGGACAGCAGAUUCCUCUUCCUAAAAGGACAUUAGCGAACCACAUGGGGAUUUUUUUUAAUAUGAGAAUUCAAAAGCGUCGUGGUCAUCAUUAACAAUACUAGCUUUUUAAUUCUGAUUUAUUAAAUUGAUUGAAUUUAAAUUCCUCAGCAACCUUUGAGAUUUGAACUCGUGUCUCUGGUACAUUAGUCUCCGAUUACUAGUCCGGUAACAUAGCUACUAAGCUACAAAACCGUCUCAGGAUGUCAGGUUAAGGCUCUCAUCCAUGAUAUAAACUGCAACAAGCAUCACUGCAAACCACAGGCUGCUUCGUUCUGUCUACAAGCUGAUAUGAAACACUGCCACUGAAAGCUGGAAAUGUCUUAAAAAGUUAAUAUCUAGGCAGAUGUCAAGACAGAGGCAACUGUAAAAGAAGGUUCAGCCUCCAGUGAGGAACUCUUAAUACGAGGUGAAUUUGUGAAACCACUUUCAAAGGAGGGAGACAGCAAGUUAACUCGAGGCAUUUUCAAAGAUUUCCAAGCCACACCAACAGAGCACCUGCCCUACAUUGUCAGGGAGUAGGCCUGCCACAAAGAACGAGAAGGGAAGAAAAUUCCUAAUUACGUAUUUAAAAAAUGAAACGUUUCCGAAGGAGUCCAGUGGCACCGGGCUCUUCGGGAUGGAGCAGAGCCUUGCUUGCAGCCGCCGGUUCCUGCUGCUGAAGAUCCUGUAGCACUCAGACUGUGCUUUCCACGACACCGCAGAUCUAUUAAAGCCAGCUGCACAACGCAGCAGUGCAAAUAUUUGGGUAGAUCUGUGCAAAAAGAGAAUCAAAAAGGCACUCAUCCUUCAAAGACUAAAAAAAAGGCUAAAGCUUACAAGAGAUGAAAAAUAUAUAAUCAAACCAAACUGUGCCACUGAUCACAGAAUUCAUCUGUCAAACAUUCUCCAAGGGGAAAGAUUAAACUUAUGUCCAAUUUACAGUUUAGUUUGAUCUGAAAUCAGCAGUGGCCAUUUGCCGAACUAGAGUGCGACUUUCAUUGAAAACUAAGUGGGUAGAUUUCAUUAGCUUUCAGUGGAUUUGCAUAUCCAAGACAUACUUUUUCAUCUUUCUCAUGAUCAUAGCUAAUCACGUGAAAAGUAAGUCAAUUUCUGAAAGACUGUAAUUUAAAAUAAGGUAGAACGGGGCAACCUGACAUAGCUUGCACACCUAUCACGGUGGAUUUAUAAGGGUUACUUUCCUCAUCCAUCAUUUGAUUCUGAGUACAAAAAUCAAUAUGGUUGAGAAAAAUGACUUUGAAGAGUCAGGAGGUAACAGAUGUUUACCAAAAUUAUCAAUAUGGAGCAUUUGCAAUGUUAUUGAGAUUCCCACAUGAUAAGAAAGUGGGGAAUAAAGGAUAAAAAUCAAAAAAGGAACAGCUUGAUCACAUGUCUAAUAAGAACAGAAGAAGUAGGAGCGAGAGCAGGCCAUUCAGGCUCUCAAGUUUGCUCCACCAUUCAACAUGAUCAUGGCUGACCUGAUUGUGGCCUUACUUUCACUCUCCUGCCUGCCCUUAGCCCUCGACUCCAGUGUCAAUAAGAAACCUGACCCUGCCUGCACUGUUCACUGGGGAAGAGAAUUACAGAAGUCUUAAGGAUCCUCAGAGAAGAAAUUCCUCUUUGUCUCCAACUUAAAUGGGAGGCCCCUUAUUUUGAAACUGUGCCCCCAAGUUAUAGA